GAUGAACGCUGGCGGCGUGCCUAAUACAUGCAAGUCGAGCGAACGGACGAGAAGCUUGCUUCUCUGAUGUUAGCGGCGGACGGGUGAGUAACACGUGGAUAACCUACCUAUAAGACUGGGAUAACUUCGGGAAACCGGAGCUAAUACCGGAUAAUAUUUUGAACCGCAUGGUUCAAAAGUGAAAGACGGUCUUGCUGUCACUUAUAGAUGGAUCCGCGCUGCAUUAGCUAGUUGGUAAGGUAACGGCUUACCAAGGCAACGAUGCAUAGCCGACCUGAGAGGGUGAUCGGCCACACUGGAACUGAGACACGGUUCAGACUCCUACGGGAGGCAGCAGUAGGGAAUCUUCCGCAAUGGGCGAAAGCCUGACGGAGCAACGCCGCGUGAGUGAUGAAGGUCUUCGGAUCGUAAAACUCUGUUAUUAGGGAAGAACAGAUGUGUAAGUAACUGUGCACAUCUUGACGGUACCUAAUCAGAAAGCCACGGCUAACUACGUG
This 497-nucleotide ribosomal RNA is filed under the name uncultured bacterium. Its description in RNAcentral is "partial 16S ribosomal RNA". It matches the Rfam family "Bacterial small subunit ribosomal RNA", at positions 28 to 507 of the family's 1533-position model. The record is from RNAcentral.